RNAcentral lists this ribosomal RNA (464 nucleotides) under uncultured bacterium. Its description in RNAcentral is "partial 16S ribosomal RNA". It matches the Rfam family "Bacterial small subunit ribosomal RNA", at positions 29 to 507 of the family's 1533-position model. The record is from RNAcentral.
AUGAACGCUGGCGGCGUGCUUAACACAUGCAAGUCGAACGGAAAGGCUCCUGCUUGCAGGGGUACUCGCGUGGCGAACGGGUGAGUAACACGUGGGUGAUCUGCCCUGCACUUCGGGAUAAGCCUGGGAAACUGGGUCUAAUACCGGAUAGGACGAUGGUUUGGAUGCCAUUGUGGAAAGUUUUUCGGUGUGGGAUGAGCUCGCGGCCUAUCAGCUUGUUGGUGGGGUAAUGGCCUACCAAGGCGUCGACGGGUAGCCGGCCUGAGAGGGUGUACGGCCACAUUGGGACUGAGAUACGGCCCAGACUCCUACGGGAGGCAGCAGUGGGGAAUAUUGCACAAUGGGCGCAAGCCUGAUGCAGCGACGCCGCGUGGGGGAUGACGGCCUUCGGGUUGUAAACUCCUUUCGUCAGGGACGAAGCGAAAGUGACGGUACCUGGAUAAGAAGCACCGGCUAACUACGUG